UACUCCGCCGGCGACCGGCGCACGGGUGCGUAACGCGUAUGCAACCUACCUUUAACAGGGGCAUAACACUGAGAAAUUGGUACUAAUUCCCCAUAACAUUCGAGAAGGCAUCUUCUUGGGUUAAAAACUCCGGUGGUUAAAGAUGGGCAUGCGUUGUAUUAGCUAGUUGGUGAGGUAACGGCUCACCGAGGCAACGAUACAUAGGGGGACUGAGAGGUUAACCCCCCACAUUGGUACUGAGACACGGACCAA
This 252-nucleotide ribosomal RNA is filed under the name uncultured bacterium. RNAcentral describes it as "partial 16S ribosomal RNA". It matches the Rfam family "Bacterial small subunit ribosomal RNA", at positions 81 to 334 of the family's 1533-position model. The record is from RNAcentral.